GUCAGCCGCCGCGGUAAUACCCGCAGCCCGAGUGGUGGUCGAUUUUAUUGAGUCUAAAACGUUCGUAGCCGGUCUGAUAAAUCCUUGGGUAAAUCGGGAAGCUUAACUUUCCGAAUUCCGAGGAGACUGUCAGGCUUGGGAUCGGGAGAGGUAUGAGGUACUUCAGGGGUAGGGGUAAAAUCCUGUAAUCCUUGGAGGACCACCGGUGGCGAAGGCGUCAUACUAGAACGAAUCCGACGGUGAGGGACGAAGCCCUAGGUCGCAAACGGGAUUAGAUACCCCGGUAGUCUAGGGUGUAAACGCUGCAGACUUGGUGUUGGGGGCCCUUCGGGGGCAUUCAGUGCCGGAGAGAAGUUGUUAAGUCUGCUACUUGGGGAGUACGUCCGCAAGGAUGAAACUUAAAGGAAUUGGCGGGGGAGCACCGCAAAACCGGGGAGGAGCGUGCGGUUUAAUUGGAUUCAACACCGGAAAACUCACCAAGGGAGACCAUCACAUGAAAGCCAGGCUAAUGACUUUGCUUGAUUCUUGGAGUAGAGGUGCAUGG
This 544-nucleotide ribosomal RNA is filed under the name uncultured archaeon. RNAcentral describes it as "bacterial SSU rRNA". It matches the Rfam family "Archaeal small subunit ribosomal RNA", at positions 457 to 997 of the family's 1478-position model. The record is from RNAcentral.